AUCAAUGCGAAGCGCUCCGCGUUUUGCGAUUGGAAUGAGAGCAAUGUAAAACCCUCAUCGAGGAUCCACUGGAGGGCAAGUCUGGUGCCAGCAGCCGCGGUAAUUCCAGCUCCAGUAAUCUAUACAAACGUUGUUGCAGUUAAAAAGCUCGUAGUUGAAUGUCUGGUGGGGUGCGGGUGCCCUUUGGCUUCGGCCAUUGCGUGCGCCUUGUGCCUGGCCCCUUUUUUGGGUCCUUUUUGGAACAAAACUGUCACUAGAAAGAAAUGCGAAUGCCCCUUUUUUGGUCCAUUUUUGGAUCAAAUCGUUCACUGUAAUGAAAUCGGAGUGCUCCAAGCAGGCCGUAGGGCCGGUACGUUCGUUACAAGAUGAUAAGACAGGACUGGGGCGUGGCUAUUGGUUUGCUCGUCCAGGUAAUGGUGAAUAGGAACGGUUGGGGGUAUCCGUAUUUCGAAGCUAGAGGUGAAAUUCUUGGAUUUUCGAAAGACGCACCAAAGCGAAGG
Molecule: ribosomal RNA, 500 nt
Filed under: Thraustochytrium sp.
Lineage: Eukaryota; Bigyra; Thraustochytrida; Thraustochytriidae
Description: bacterial SSU rRNA
Rfam family: Eukaryotic small subunit ribosomal RNA
Source: RNAcentral